GACGAACGCUGGCGGCGUGCUUAACACAUGCAAGUCGAACGAAGAGCGAUGGAAGCUUGCUUCUAUCACUCUUAGUGGCGAACGGGUGAGUAACGCGUAAUCAACCUGCCCUUCAGAGGGGGACAACAGUUGGAAACGACUGCUAAUACCGCAUACGAUCUAAUCUCGGCAUCGAGGAUAGAUGAAAGGUGGCCUCUACAUGUAAGCUAUCACUGAAGGAGGGGAUUGCGUCUGAUUAGCUAGUUGGAGGGGUAACGGCGCACCAAGGCGAUGAUCAGUAGCCGGUCUGAGAGGAUGAACGGCCACAUUGGGACUGAGACACGGCCCAGACUCCUACGGGAGGCAGCAGUGGGGAAUCUUCCGCAAUGGACGAAAGUCUGACGGAGCAACGCCGCGUGAGUGAUGACGGCCUUCGGGUUGUAAAGCUCGGUUAAUCGGGACGAAAGGCCUUCUUGCGAACAGUUAGAAGGAUUGACGGUAUCGGAAUAGAAAGCCACGGCUAACUACGUG
RNAcentral lists this ribosomal RNA (510 nucleotides) under uncultured bacterium. RNAcentral's name for it is "partial 16S ribosomal RNA". It matches the Rfam family "Bacterial small subunit ribosomal RNA", at positions 28 to 507 of the family's 1533-position model. The record is from RNAcentral.